Molecule: long non-coding RNA, 549 nt
Organism: Sinocyclocheilus grahami
Lineage: Eukaryota; Metazoa; Chordata; Actinopteri; Cypriniformes; Cyprinidae
Exons: 3
Source: RefSeq, a predicted model, not a curated record
CAAACACAAACACAAGCGCGCACACACACACACACACACACACACACACACACAACCAUAAAGAGUACAUUAGCAACCUGAAGAGGGCGCGGUUGUAUUAUAACUUAAAGGACAAACGCGGCAAACCAACAGCGAUUGGAAGUCUGAGUCGGUUCCGCAAAUCGGUUCUUUUGAACAAUUCGUUUAAAAGAACUGGUUCAACAAUUAUCUCGAAUCCCUCAGACCGAUUCUACAAACCGACUCAACUGAUUCACUGAAAAGACUCGACCUAAAAAAAAACGUUUUGAUCGCUUCUGCUUUUAGACUUGGCAACCAGGAGAGGCCAUUUUGAUGCAGGUGGGCGGGGUUUCGAGGCUCACUCUGGUCACGUGACUGUCAUGUGACGUCAAGACUUCCUGGCGGCAGUUUCAGACGGGGCUGAGGUCGCGCUGCUCGGAAUCGUGCAAUUUAAAAAAAGGAAUAUCAGUAAACAAAAGCCGCAACAGAAAGAACAAGAAGCGACGGGCCCACGGAUACAACCUGCACCGGGGACCCACAAACCCCAGCUAC